GACGAACGCUGGCGGCGUGCCUAACACAUGCAAGUCGAACGGAGACGAUAGCAAUAUUGUCUUAGUGGCGGACGGGUGAGUAACGCGUGAGUAACCUGCCUUUCGGAGGGGGACAACAGCUGGAAACGGCUGCUAAUACCGCAUAAGACCACGGGCUGAGAUGCCAGUGGGAAAAGGAGCAAUCCACUUAAGGAUGGGCCUGCGGCCUAUCAGGUAGUUGGUGAGGUAACGGCCCACCAAGCCAGAGACGGGUAGCCGGGCUGAGAGGUUGAACGGCCACACUGGAACUGAGAUACGGUCCAGACUCCUACGGGAGGCAG
Molecule: ribosomal RNA, 320 nt
Filed under: uncultured Nitrospirota bacterium
Lineage: Bacteria; Pseudomonadati; Nitrospirota
Description: bacterial SSU rRNA
Rfam family: Bacterial small subunit ribosomal RNA
Source: RNAcentral